AUUCCAGCUCCAAGAGCGUAUAUUAAAGUUGCUGCGGUUAAAAAGCUCGUAGUUGGAUUUCAGUCUAGGAAGGUUAACUCGCCGAAAGGUUGUACGUUGAUUUUCCUCAGACUUCGUCAGAAGCUCGUGCUGCACUUAACUGUGUGGUACGAUGUUCUGACCUUUUACCUUGAGGAAAGUAGAGUGUUUCAGGCAGGCUACCCAGCUUGAAUACAUUAGCAUGGAAUAAUGAAAUGGAUCUCGGUUCGAUUUCGUUGGUUCUAGAGCUGAGGUGAUGAUCAAUAGGAACAGGCGAAGGUAUUCGUACUUGAGAGUGAGGAGUGAAAUCCGAUGAUCUCUUAAGGACGAUCCGAGGCGAAAGCAUUUGUCAAGGAUGUUUUCAUCA
RNAcentral lists this ribosomal RNA (385 nucleotides) under Eukaryota sp. Its description in RNAcentral is "partial small subunit ribosomal RNA". It matches the Rfam family "Eukaryotic small subunit ribosomal RNA", at positions 582 to 975 of the family's 1831-position model. The record is from RNAcentral.